AUGUGUGGUGUACUGAUGGAGGUGGAUCUGAAUGACUCCAAAGCCCCUCCCCAUCCGUGUGCUGUCCGCAUGCUCGGCGGAUGUCUCCUGUCCCCAUCCGUGUGCUGUCCGCAUGCUCGGCGGAUGUCUCCUGUCCCCAUCCGUGUGCUGUCCGCGUGCUCGGCGGAUGUCUCCUUUCCCCAUCCGUGUGCUGUCCGCGUGCUCGGCGGAUGUCUCCUGUCCCCAUCCGUGUGCUGUCCGCAUGCUCGGCGGAUGUCUCCUGUCCCCAUCCGUGUGCUGUCCGCGUGCUCGGCGGAUGUCUCCUGUCCCCAUCCGUGUGCUGUCUGCGUGCUCGGUGGAUGUCUCCUGUCCCCAUCCGUGUGCUGUCCGCGUGCUCGGUGGAUGUCUCCUGUCCCCUUGGUCAAGGGAAGGCUGUCUUUUCAGAGGCUCGGGCCAAACGCCUGGCACCUCUGGACCCCUCACUGGCUCUCACACCCCACAUCCAGCCCAUCAGCAUAUCCUCCCACCUCCACCUGCAAUCAGACCCUGAAUGCGUUUCUCUCCAGCCCUGCUGGUGCCAUCUGGUCCAGCGCCCUGGGCCCAGCUGGGCAGUGGCAGCUUCCCCGUGCUUGGCUCAGACGACCUCAGGGGGCUGCCCUCGCCCCGGAUGAAGCCCCAGUCCCGCGGGGCCCUGUGUCCAGGCCCGAGGCCCCUCUGGCCUCAGUCCUGCUCCCUUGGCUUGGCUCUAUGGCUGCCCCACGGGCCUCCUCUCUCAGCCUGCCCAGCCCUGCUUUUCUUCUCUCUGGAACGUUCGUCCUCCAGUUCCCAUCCGUGUGCUGUCCGCGUGCUCGGUGGAUGUCUCCUGUCCCCUUGGUCAAGGGAAGGCUGUCUUUUCAGAGGCUCGGGCCAAACGCCUGGCACCUCUGGACCCCUCACUGGCUCUCACACCCCACAUCCAGCCCAUCAGCAUAUCCUCCCACCUCCACCUGCAAUCAGACCCUGAAUGCGUUUCUCCAGCCCUGCUGGUGCCAUCUGGUCCAGCGCCUGGGCCCAGCUGGGCAGUGGCAGCUUCCCCGUGCUUGGCUCAGACGACCUCAGGGGGCUGCCCUCGCCCCGGAUGAAGCCCCAGUCCCGCGGGGCCCUGUGUCCAGGCCCGAGGCCCCUCUGGCCUCAGUCCUGCUCCCUUGGCUUGGCUCUAUGGCUGCCCCACGGGCCUCCUCUCUCAGCCUGCCCAGCCCCUGCUUUUCUUCUCUCUGGAACGUUCGUCCUCCAGUUCCCACCCCCCAGAGCCCACUCUCCUGCCUCCCUCAAGGCUCAGCAUCCCAGAGGCCACCCCUGACCCCUGAUUCUUAA
This 1332-nucleotide long non-coding RNA is filed under the name Bos grunniens (domestic yak). Its description in RNAcentral is "lncRNA (ENSBGRG00000021514.1)". The record is from RNAcentral. Lineage: Eukaryota; Metazoa; Chordata; Mammalia; Artiodactyla; Bovidae.